GGGAGAAUCCUGAAUUCGAAAGGGAUCGGAUUCAAGUCCGCCCGGCUGCACAGGACGCCUGGCCCCGCCAGAUGGCGCCGGUCGCCCGCGGCGAUUCAUUUCGCUUGUGGUGUCGUUCCCGGCGAUCACUCGGUGAGGUGGCGAUGCUCUGGCACCGGAGGAGUGCACUUCCCCCCUAGUAGAAACGUCGCGACCCGUUGGGUGCCGGUCCAAGGCCCGGGAAGGCAGACCGCGUGUCCUGUGGGGGUUCUCACAGGCGUGCGGACUCCUGGUGACCCGGCCGGCUGCUCGACGGUAUGACCAGAGGAGUCGAUCCGCUGAAUGUGAAACACUUUGGAUGUGUAGCGUCCGGCCCGGCGCCGAUGCGUGCGGGGAUUGAGGUGCAAACCGGGGGUGUCCGUGCGAAGCACGGCCCCGGCCCCGCUGCGUUUUCGGAUUGUCGGUGUCCUCGGACUGGAUCGUUACUCCCGUCUGCGACGCCCACCUUCGGAUGGUCUCCCG
This 501-nucleotide ribosomal RNA is filed under the name Lamponius cf. portoricensis SB0366. RNAcentral describes it as "partial large subunit ribosomal RNA". The record is from RNAcentral. Lineage: Eukaryota; Metazoa; Arthropoda; Insecta; Phasmatodea; Pseudophasmatidae.